RNAcentral lists this ribosomal RNA (465 nucleotides) under Vreelandella stevensii. RNAcentral describes it as "partial 16S ribosomal RNA". It matches the Rfam family "Bacterial small subunit ribosomal RNA", at positions 338 to 795 of the family's 1533-position model. The record is from RNAcentral. Lineage: Bacteria; Pseudomonadati; Pseudomonadota; Gammaproteobacteria; Oceanospirillales; Halomonadaceae.
CCUACGGGGGGCAGCAGUGGGGAAUAUUGGACAAUGGGCGAAAGCCUGAUCCAGCCAUGCCGCGUGUGUGAAGAAGGCCUUCGGGUUGUAAAGCACUUUCAGUGGGGAAGAAAGCCUUGGGGCUAAUACCCUCGAGGAAGGACAUCACCCACAGAAGAAGCACCGGCUAACUCCGUGCCAGCAGCCGCGGUAAUACGGAGGGUGCGAGCGUUAAUCGGAAUUACUGGGCGUAAAGCGCGCGUAGGCGGUCUGAUAAGCCGGUUGUGAAAGCCCCGGGCUCAACCUGGGAACGGCAUCCGGAACUGUCAGGCUAGAGUGCAGGAGAGGAAGGUAGAAUUCCCGGUGUAGCGGUGAAAUGCGUAGAGAUCGGGAGGAAUACCAGUGGCGAAGGCGGCCUUCUGGACUGACACUGACGCUGAGGUGCGAAAGCGUGGGUAGCAAACAGGAUUAGAUACCCAAGUAGUC